UGGGUUUGAGCCUCAGGGACAGAGCAGGGCUGGGCUUCCUAUCUGUCAGCUGGUGUGCUAUUUAUGAUGGCCCUUGAGAAGCCGUUAAACAGAGACCAGCUUUGCCGGUGGCCUCCGAAUCCAGCGAUGACGUCACCCUAGGCAGAAGGACCCGCCUGCAUCUGUUGCCACAGCAACCACCACACAUGCUCAGCUUGCAUCUCGCCUGCACGUAAACUUUGCGUCUCACCAGCGAGCGCUGGUGCGGUGUGCAUGAUUAUGUCACAGCCCGAAUAAAAGGCAGAGACCCCAGCCCCCCUCUCCUCCUUCUUUGUCUGCCCUCUUCUUUCCUCCUUCUCUUCCCCCAAUAAACCUCUUCUCGUGGA
This is a long non-coding RNA of Apodemus sylvaticus (European woodmouse), 365 nucleotides long. RefSeq lists it as uncharacterized. The transcript has 2 exons. The record is from RefSeq and is a predicted model, not a curated record. Lineage: Eukaryota; Metazoa; Chordata; Mammalia; Rodentia; Muridae.